GAUGAACGCUGGCGGCGUGCCUAAUACAUGCAAGUCGAGCGAACAGACGAGGAUCUUGCUCCUCUGACGUUAGCGGCGGACGGGUGAGUAACACGUGGAUAACCUACCUAUAAGACUGGGAUAACUUCGCGAAACCGGAUCUAAUACCGGAUAAUAUAUUGAACCGCAUGGUUCAAUAGUGAAAGACGGUUUUGCUGUCACUUAUAGAUGGAUCCGCGCCGCAUUAGCUAGUUGGUAAGGUAACGGCUUACCAAGGCGACGAUGCGUAGCCGACCUGAGAGGGUGAUCGGCCACACUGGAACUGAGACACGGUCCAGACUCCUACGGGAGGCAGCAGUAGGGAAUCUUCCGCAAUGGGCGAAAGCCUGACGGAGCAACGCCGCGUGAGUGAUGAAGGUCUUCGGAUCGUAAAACUCUGUUAUUAGGGAAGAACAAAUGUGUAAGUAAAUAUGCACGUCUUGACGGUACCUAAUCAGAAAGCCACGGCUAACUACGUG
RNAcentral lists this ribosomal RNA (497 nucleotides) under uncultured bacterium. RNAcentral's name for it is "partial 16S ribosomal RNA". It matches the Rfam family "Bacterial small subunit ribosomal RNA", at positions 28 to 507 of the family's 1533-position model. The record is from RNAcentral.